UUUUAAGGUUACAUCAAUCAUAAAAGAACAUUUAAAAAUUGCACAACAACAUCUACUGCGGGUAAAAUCUUUGGUUUGGGCAAACAGCGUUGCGAGAGCACGUCUCCUUUCACACUUGCCACUACUUGGUGGAUCUAAACGAGCUCCGGAUGACUGAUUAAGUGCACACAUUCUCUCUCUGCCUCAUCACAUAUCAUGGGUACAGAAAGGGGAUGCCGGUGGGCAAAACCAUUUUACACACAAAGACAAGAUGGGAGAGUACAGAGGCUGGGGGACAACCUUGCCACCAACACUAACAGCUGCUUAAACUCACCAGAGGGGCUAGUGGCAAUCCCACUUCUGAAAGAACACCACCAGGCUUCCGCUCACAGGGCCCGGAGGAGCCUUUCAAAGGGAGGUCAAAGGUGCUCCUCACAUAAAGUGCGGUACAAGGAGAUCAGUGGAGCUGGAUCUUCUUGAUGCCGGAAAAAGAAAAAACGUAUGUUUUCUUCCACGCUGUAAAGCCGCAAAUAUAACGUCUUCUUCCCCAUUUUUUGUUUUAAAGCCUUUCUAGUGUUUCACGUUAUUCCGAGCUGCGGCGCGGCGAACCCUCCUGUUCCUGCGGGGCGAGAUUGUUCCUGUCACGGGUGCUUUGUCUUACACAGACUGCAGCUCUCCCACAAACAGAGGCCGUAUCAAAGUGAAAGCAGAUAGAGUCACAUCAGUGGAUUAAGGCCUUCUGCAUGAUAAAGUAGCUACCUAGGGUGGAAUUAACUUAAUAUGUGAAAGAAUGUUAUUGAGAGGGAAUAGAGUACCAAAACUCUCUCAUUCUCUUCGUAAUGUCCUAAUCCAGAGCCUGACACUGGGGCCUUAGGAUGGUGUUAAUGAUAAUCAAUGAAAUACCCAUCUGUAUUCCUUGUCCUUAGAGCUAUUUAAACUUCGCCUAAACUCAAUUAUUGUCCCUGAGAGACCAAGAUGGCAUAUUAAGACACGUGAAAGGGGAUUCAGUCCCAGAAAAGAAAAGCCCAGUGCUGAAGUGCAGAGGUGUCAACAUUGCUAACUAAAUUUCAGCUAAACAGAUUAAAUGCCCAAUCCAUGGACCUGAAAACAACACCAGAAUGAACUUAGAGAGGAGGAAUCUCAUUUUCAAAGCAUCCCUUAAACUGUUAAGCAGUCUAAUCAUCGCGGAUCUGAGAGUCUGUGCCCCAGCAUAUAUUUCUCUCUUUACGCCCAACACAAUGAGACUCUGAAGGCCUUAGAUGUACAUCCCUCAGAACAAAAACUGCGAAGACUGUGAACUUUCAAGCGGUUCAUGAAUCUGCAAGUAUGAUGUCCAAAAGGUGAUUGAACUAUAUUAACGUUGGCCAUUUUUCUUUCUUCUAUGUUUUAUAGUGUUUAUUUUUUCCAGUAAAUUUCCAGUUCACUCAAAUUGGUUUCACCUUUUAUUUACAAG
Molecule: long non-coding RNA, 1432 nt
Filed under: Lepisosteus oculatus (spotted gar)
Lineage: Eukaryota; Metazoa; Chordata; Actinopteri; Semionotiformes; Lepisosteidae
Description: lncRNA (ENSLOCG00000023217.1)
Source: RNAcentral